CCGCCCCCCAUCCCGCAGGGGACGUGGCCGGGGGCUGCAAAUUGCUCCGGAACCGCUUCGAGAGCCGGGACCGGGAAUGGGCGUCCUACACCUGUGUGCUGGGCUUCCACGUCUUCGGGGUGUGGCCCGACGGCUCCGACGGCACCGACAUCAACUCCCUGUGCCGCUCCCACGGCGAGAGGGUCGUGGCCGUGGCCGACGACUUCUGCAAAGUUCACCUGUUCCAGUACCCCUGUGCCCGCCCCAAGGCUCCCAGUCACGUGUACGGGGGCCACGGCAGCCACGUGACCAACGUGCGGUUCACCCACGACGACGGGCACCUCGUGUCCCUGGGGGGCAAAGACACCAGCGUGUUCCAGUGGCGGGUGCUGGGGGGCGACCCCGACCCGCGCUGAGCCCCCCCGGCCGCCCCUUCAUCCUCCUCAUCCUCCUGCCCUUCCUCGCUGCUUCCUCUUCCCCUUCCCCUGCCCGGGACCAAAGGGGGGGGGGCGUUUUCCGCCCCCCCCCCCGAAUUCGCUGCACUGUGAGAGGCGCCAAUAAAGCCUUUUUGGGGUC
Molecule: long non-coding RNA, 555 nt
Organism: Neopelma chrysocephalum (saffron-crested tyrant-manakin)
Lineage: Eukaryota; Metazoa; Chordata; Aves; Passeriformes; Pipridae
Exons: 3
Source: RefSeq, a predicted model, not a curated record